Molecule: ribosomal RNA, 430 nt
Filed under: uncultured bacterium
Lineage: Bacteria
Description: partial 16S ribosomal RNA
Rfam family: Bacterial small subunit ribosomal RNA
Source: RNAcentral
GUGGGGAAUAUUGCACAAUGGGCGCAAGCCUGAUGCAGCGACGCCGCGUGAGGGAUGGAGGCCUUCGGGUUGUAAACCUCUUUUAUCGGGGAGCAAGCGAGAGUGAGUUUACCCGUUGAAUAAGCACCGGCUAACUACGUGCCAGCAGCCGCGGUAAUACGUAGGGUGCAAGCGUUAUCCGGAAUUAUUGGGCGUAAAGGGCUCGUAGGCGGUUCGUCGCGUCCGGUGUGAAAGUCCAUCGCUUAACGGUGGAUCCGCGCCGGGUACGGGCGGGCUUGAGUGCGGUAGGGGAGACUGGAAUUCCCGGUGUAACGGUGGAAUGUGUAGAUAUCGGGAAGAACACCAAUGGCGAAGGCAGGUCUCUGGGCCGUUACUGACGCUGAGGCACGAAAGCGUGGGGAGCAAACAGGAUUAGAAACCCGAGUAGUCC